Long non-coding RNA from Danio aesculapii, 492 nucleotides. RefSeq lists it as uncharacterized. The record is from RefSeq and is a predicted model, not a curated record. The transcript has 5 exons. Lineage: Eukaryota; Metazoa; Chordata; Actinopteri; Cypriniformes; Danionidae.
AGAAUUGUCUCCAGUGCAAAUGAUGUUUUGUCAUCCCACUCCCUGAGCACACUCCAGUGUAGCAGGUCUACAUGUUCUGUCAAGAGACUGGAUUCUGAGAGUGAGAACCUGUGAAGUGUCCAUCAAAGCUGAAGAGAAGAAUUGGGUUCAGCAACUGUCCAGAGUUGGUGGAUGUCCAAGCCGGAGUAAAAAUGUCAUGAACAGGGUGGCGGUUUUGGUGUACUGCUCCUUUAAGGCUAGUCCUCCCCGCCUACCGUUUCUACAUGCCUUUCUGCGUGCCUUAAUCUCCUCCCUCGGCUGCAUCAGACAACAGACAGACUUAAAGGAAGCAGAUCUCACGUAGCGUUUGUGAGAUAUACUACAAUGCUGUGAAGUGAUGAGGUCCAGAUGCUACAGACUCCGAAAAAGAUGCAGCAAUGGAGGAACAUAGCAAGCACUUUCCAGGAGAAGCUGGAGAAUAUUGGAAAAAAGACUCAAAAAUAAAAUUUCAGC